GAUGAACGCUAGCGAUAGGCCUAACACAUGCAAGUCGAGGGGCAUCACAUGAAGUAGCAAUACGGAUGGUGGCGACCGGCGCACGGGUGAGUAACACGUAUGCAACCUGCCUUCAACAAGGGGAUAACCCGUUGAAAGACGGACUAAUACCCUAUAACACAGGGGUCCCGCAUGGGAAUAUUUGUUAAAGGACAACCGGUUGAAGAUGGGCAUGCGUUCCAUUAGCUAGUUGGCGGGGUAACGGCCCACCAAGGCAACGAUGGAUAGGGGAACUGAGAGGUUUAUCCCCCACACUGGUACUGAGACACGGACCAGACUCCUACGGGAGGCAGCAGUGAGGAAUAUUGGUCAAUGGACGCAAGUCUGAACCAGCCACGUCGCGUGAAGGAAGACGGCCCUACGGGUUGUAAACUUCUUUUAUACGGGAAUAAAGUGCCCCACGCGUGGGGUUUUGCAUGUACCGUAUGAAUAAGGAUCGGC
This 480-nucleotide ribosomal RNA is filed under the name uncultured bacterium. Its description in RNAcentral is "bacterial SSU rRNA". It matches the Rfam family "Bacterial small subunit ribosomal RNA", at positions 28 to 497 of the family's 1533-position model. The record is from RNAcentral.